UACGAAGGGGGCUAGCGUUGCUCGGAAUCACUGGGCGUAAAGGGUGCGUAGGCGGGUCUUUAAGUCAGGGGUGAAAUCCUGGAGCUCAACUCCAGAACUGCCUUUGAUACUGAAGACCUUGAGUUCGGGAGAGGUGAGUGGAACUGCGAGUGUAGAGGUGAAAUUCGUAGAUAUUAGGAAGAACACCAGUGGCGAAGGCGGCUCACUGGUCCGGUACUGACGCUGAGGUGCGAAAGCGUGGGGAGCAAACAGG
This 253-nucleotide ribosomal RNA is filed under the name uncultured bacterium. Its description in RNAcentral is "partial 16S ribosomal RNA". It matches the Rfam family "Bacterial small subunit ribosomal RNA", at positions 524 to 776 of the family's 1533-position model. The record is from RNAcentral.